This 541-nucleotide ribosomal RNA is filed under the name uncultured bacterium. RNAcentral's name for it is "bacterial SSU rRNA". It matches the Rfam family "Bacterial small subunit ribosomal RNA", at positions 8 to 521 of the family's 1533-position model. The record is from RNAcentral.
AGAGUUUGAUCCUGGCUCAGAAUGAACGCUGGCGGCGUGCUUAACACAUGCAAGUCGAACGAGAAAUCCUCUGCUUGCAGAGGAGAGUAAAGUGGCGCACGGGUGAGUAACGCGUGGGUAAUUUACCCUUGGAUUUGGGAUAACAUUUCGAAAGGGGUGCUAAUACCAGAUAAUAUCCUGAUGAUUUUGGUUAUUAGGAUCAAAGAUAGCCUCUACAUGUAAGCUAUUGUGCAAGGAUGAGCCCGCGUACCAUUAGCUAGUUGGCAGGGUAAAGGCCUACCAAGGCGAUGAUGGUUAGCUGGUCUGAGAGGAUGAUCAGCCACACUGGAACUGAAACACGGUCCAGACUCCUACGGGAGGCAGCAGUGAGGAAUUUUGCGCAAUGGGGGAAACCCUGACGCAGCAACGCCGCGUGAGUGAAGAAGGCUUUCGGGUCGUAAAGCUCUGUCAAGAGGGAAGAAGGUAAGGGAUAGUAAUACUGUUUUUUAUUGACGGUACCUCUGAAGGAAGCACCGGCUAACUCCGUGCCAGCAGCCGCGGU